AGCAGGGGUGUCAAAUUCAGGUCUGGCUUAGAUCUGGCCCACGGGGCUGCCUUGGAAACAGCGAAGGACUGGCCCGCAGUGCUUCUGCCAGUG
This is a small nucleolar RNA of Pantherophis guttatus, 93 nucleotides long. RefSeq annotates it as small nucleolar RNA SNORA5. NCBI's taxonomy places the organism in Eukaryota, Metazoa, Chordata, Lepidosauria, Squamata, Colubridae. The record is from RefSeq and is a predicted model, not a curated record.